RNAcentral lists this ribosomal RNA (136 nucleotides) under Vibrio cholerae. RNAcentral's name for it is "partial 16S ribosomal RNA". It matches the Rfam family "Bacterial small subunit ribosomal RNA", at positions 1 to 128 of the family's 1533-position model. The record is from RNAcentral. Lineage: Bacteria; Pseudomonadati; Pseudomonadota; Gammaproteobacteria; Vibrionales; Vibrionaceae.
UUAAUUGAAGAGUUUGAUCAUGGCUCAGAUUGAACGCUGGCGGCAGGCCUAACACAUGCAAGUCGAGCGGCAGCACAGAGGAACUUGUUCCUUGGGUGGCGAGCGGCGGACGGGUGAGUAAUGCCUGGGAAAUUGC